This 330-nucleotide ribosomal RNA is filed under the name uncultured Lachnospiraceae bacterium. RNAcentral's name for it is "bacterial SSU rRNA". It matches the Rfam family "Bacterial small subunit ribosomal RNA", at positions 28 to 339 of the family's 1533-position model. The record is from RNAcentral. Lineage: Bacteria; Bacillati; Bacillota; Clostridia; Lachnospirales; Lachnospiraceae.
GAUGAACGCUGGCGGCGUGCUUAACACAUGCAAGUCGAACGAAGCAGUUUAUUACGAUCCCUUCGGGGUGACGAUUUACUGACUGAGUGGCGGACGGGUGAGUAACGCGUGGGUAACCUACCUUGUACAGGGGGACAACAGUUGGAAACGACUGCUAAUACCGCAUAAGCGCACAGCAUCGCAUGAUGUAGUGUGAAAAGUUUUUUCGGUAUAAGAUGGACCCGCGUCUGAUUAGCUAGUUGGUGAGGUAACGGCUCACCAAGGCGACGAUCCAUAGCCGGCCUGAGAGGGUGAACGGCCACAUUGGGACUGAGACACGGCCCAGACUCC